This 794-nucleotide long non-coding RNA is filed under the name Piliocolobus tephrosceles (Ugandan red Colobus). Its description in RNAcentral is "lncRNA (ENSPTEG00000006841.1)". The record is from RNAcentral. Lineage: Eukaryota; Metazoa; Chordata; Mammalia; Primates; Cercopithecidae.
CAGGUUUUUCUGCAUGGGUACCCGUAGCUGCUCUGUUCCUGGUUUAGAGGAGAAGGGGGAGGCAGUCGCGGCGCAUGCUGGAGGCUGGAGCUUGAGUUGGCUCGCCUCGCUGCUGCGGUUCCUGGCGGUGAGGGAGGCUACAGCACAGCCAGAAUGGUAAAAAGCUGGCGGAAUAGGUUCAUUAUCCCGGGAUGUACCGUCAGUGCUUUCCCGCCCCCGCACCGACCCGGAGGGGUCAUGAAGUUCCUGGCUCCCACCCAGAGUGCGUGUCUCUCCCUCCGGGGGUACCUCAAAGCGUCAAGAAGUUCCCAGGGAACGGGGUCAGGCGCCCAGGGUUCCAGGGAGAGUUUGAAGCAGGCUGCGGAGAAAAAGCGGCGAGGCCGAAGAAGAGGCUGGGUUCCCGUGAUGGAGGCUUGGCACUUGCCCUCAAAAAAGAUGGCGCGGAAGACCUCACGCGCCUCACGCGACCUGACCGCAGGACUCCUGCGCGGCUCAUAUCCCCGCACAGGGCGGCCGAGAGGGGAGGAGGAAGCAUGGACUGGAGGGCGGGUGUGGCCGGGGAGGCUCUUGGCAGCUGUUGUGUGGCUGCGCUGCUGGAGCUGCCGGGCGGGCGGGAUGCUGUACCCCCGGAGGAGACCCUCGCAGGAGCGCCAGGAGCUGGACGGCCUCUGGAGCUUCCGCGCCGACUUCUCCGACAGCGGAUACAGGGACUUCGAGGAGCAGAGAUACUGGGUCUGACUAUGUUAACCAGGCUGGUCUGGAACUCCUGGCCUGAAGCCAUCCUCCCACGUUGA